GAUGAAGAACGUAGCGAAAUGCGAUAAGUAAUGUGAAUUGCAGAAUUCAGUGAAUCAUCGAAUCUUUGAACGCACAUUGCGCCCGCUAGUAUUCUGGCGGGCAUGCCUGUUCGAGCGUCAUUUCAACCAUCAAGCCCUGUUUAGGCUUGUGUUGGGGCCCUGCGGUUGCCGCAGCCCCCUAAAUGCAGUGGCGGGCUCGCUAGUCACUCCGAGCGUAGUAAUACAUCUCGCUCAGGGCGUGCUGCGGGUUCCGGCCGUUAAAAAGCCUUAUUUACCCAAGGUUGACCUCGGAUCAGGUAGGAAGACCCGCUGAACUUAAGCAUAUCAAUAAGCGGAGGA
This 339-nucleotide unclassified non-coding RNA is filed under the name soil metagenome. Its description in RNAcentral is "partial contains 5.8S ribosomal RNA, internal transcribed spacer 2, and large subunit ribosomal RNA". The stretch from base 1 to 120 matches the Rfam family "5.8S ribosomal RNA", at positions 35 to 154 of the family's 154-position model. The record is from RNAcentral.